GAUGAACGCUGGCGGCGUGCCUAAUACAUGCAAGUCGAGCGAACAGACGAGUAGCUUGCUCCUCGGACGUUAGCGGCGGACGGGUGAGUAACACGUGGAUAACCUACCUAUGAGACUGGGAUAACUUCGGGAAACCGGAGCUAAUACCGGAUAAUAUAUUGAAGCGCAUGGUUCAAUAGUGAAAGACGGUUUUGCUGUCACUUAUAGAUGGAUCCGCGCCGCAUUAGCUAGUUGGUAAGGUAACGGCUUACCAAGGCAACGAUGCGUAGCCGACCUGAGAGGGUGACCGGCCACACUGGCACUGAGAGACGGUCCAGACUCUUACGGGAGGCAGCAGUAGGGAAUCUUCCGAAAUGGGCGAAAGCCUGACGGAGCAACGCCGCGUGAGUGAUGAAGGUCUUCGGAUCGUAAAACUCUGUUAUUAGGGAAGAACAAAUGUGUAAGUAACUAUGCACGUCUUGACGGUACCUAAUCAGAAAGCAACGGCUAACUACGUG
RNAcentral lists this ribosomal RNA (497 nucleotides) under uncultured bacterium. RNAcentral's name for it is "partial 16S ribosomal RNA". It matches the Rfam family "Bacterial small subunit ribosomal RNA", at positions 28 to 507 of the family's 1533-position model. The record is from RNAcentral.